AGGAAAAGGGAAGACAGGGAGAAAUAGGGAAAAAUAAACAAAAUAACCCGCCAAGCCCCAUCUCUGCGCCACAUGGCAGCAGCCCCGAGGAGCCUGGCGCUGCCUCCCCGCCGUGGCGGAGGGGCGGUCGGGGCAGGGCGGAGGGCGCAGGCCGCGGGGCGGGUGCCGCGGGCGGGCAGCGCCGCCGAGCGCUGGGGGGGCGCCAGGGGCCGGGAAUGCGCAGCGGCGGAGCCGGAGACAGCCCCGGGAGGGACCGGCCCGGCCCCGCGCCCCGAGCCUGAGGCGCGGCCGCCACCUGCUGUCGGCUGGAGGAAGCGCCGGGAAGGAGCGAGCCCGUCCGUGACGGGAAGCCGGGCUCGCCCGAGCGGCUGGACGGCCUCCUCCCUCGCACUCCGACAUUUCCUCUGCAAACCCUCUGAAAGGACCCGCUGGCUGAAGAGAAGCAAAAUUCACUUCUGACGCUUUGCUCGCCCCCGGCUGAUUUCAGGCUUAAAUUAAGGCACAAUCUGGCUACAAGGGAGCGCAUAUCUCCUGGGUGUCCCUGGGCAAGACAAGCCUGAAACACCCCAAAUGGAACCAACGAUCGGUCAGGAGCAGCUGGAACUGGACAGUGGAAUAGGCUAGGAACAGGGCAAACCCCACCUUUUUUUUUGCUAUUUUUUCCCCUUUACUUUGCUUUUGAUGUGCUAAUAAUACUCGUUUCGCAGUCAGAUCCCAGGCUGAUGCAGAUCACACCACAUCAUCGUAAUAUCCCCCUCACACCCUUUCUUUUAAACGCUGUAGUCACAGAGUGCUUUCUGCCAUUUCCAAGGAGAUGUCAAGGUGUUUCAAGCAGGGAUUUAUUUCUUCUCCACUGUGUUGGAGGUAAUAAAUUGAUGACGGACAAACAAUUAUCACCACUGCAGUGAAAGGGUAGAUAUACACUGUUAUGAGUGAGUGACUUCUGAGUAUGGGAAGACCCAAGACCAGGAGAGCAGUUUCUUACCUUUGAUAAGAGGUAAACACUGUUGCCUCUCACUGCUUUGUUCACAAGCAUGAGAGCCAGGAUACAGUCCUGUGGGUUUUAGAAAGGCAAAAUAAGGUUGGAGAGGAUGCUUACUUGGUUCGAAAAUAUUUAUUCCUCUGUACCUGUAUUGAUUACUUUUAGGUAUGAAUAGCAAUGGCAAUCUUAUCCUCCAAAUGUUCGUUCUAGUCAAUAACAAAAUUAAUUUGUAUACCAACAAAUCCGCAACUAUCCAGGAGGCAAAUGAGCUCAGUAUAUAAUAGAGGGGAGAGUUUUGGCAAAAGGGAGAGUGUAGAAAGAAGCCUGCUCAUAAGAAUUAUUGAUAAAAGAAUUACAUGUUUAUAGAAUCCAAUUCUCUGACUUGAAGCAUUUUAUAUGCUCAGUCCUCAGCGAUAACCACAACCAUUUCAACAAUUGCUGUUUGCUGAAGAAAAUUGAUUUUAAAAUCUCCCUGACUCAUUUACAAAUUACUAUUAUUUUUCUGCACUAAAGUAGCACCCCAGACACUGUGGCACAGAUUAGGGCUCCAACGGGGUAGGUGCCUUGUAAACUCAUGACACAUCACCAAGGAACUGGAUUUCUAAACCUCACAGCUCAAAAGAUUCAUGAGUAUGUAUUUGUGUGUGUGGUACUGAAUGACUGCACUAAAGUCAACACUUCGAUAAAAGCAUUUAUUUAUUAGAGCCUACACAGGCUCUUAAGUGCUGAAAGGUACCUUAAAAAAGGUUGCAUCCAUACAUAAAAGUCUCUAACUCACUCAAAACCCAAAUUCAGCUGGUGUUGCAGCCACUGUGGACUUUCUGAGCUCCUUAAAGGUGCAGAGAAGCUGGGGAAACUGGUUGAGUGCAAUUCACAGGUACUUUUGGCCUCUGUAUGUGCCAACCCAAAACUGAGGGCAAAGAGAGCAACACAGGAGGUUGCAGGAGUACAAUAGGAUGCAAAAACCUUUGAAAAACAUUCUUGCAUGGCAAAUGCUCACUCACACUGGUUCUGCUCAAGAGAUGCAGUGAACAGGCCCCUUCCCUCCUCACAAGCAGGAUUUGCAGGGUGAUGUGUUAGCCUCAGUGCUGGAGCUGUAGGAGGGAAGAACAACUAAAGAGCACAUGGUCCAAGAAGUGCAAGGAAAAAUACACUGGGGGACCUGCAAUUCAAAAACGUUGCCACCAAAACCUGCCAAUAAGGAAAAACAGAACACAAAGAAGCAGUAUUACACAGGAAACAUCUGACAGGAGCAGGAAAUUAUCACAGUUGCAGUGUCUGAAUAACAAGACUUACCUUCCUUUCAAGCUCAAUAUGGGCAAAAUGAAUGAAACCACAUUUCAAGGUCAAGUGAUCCCUUGCCACAGACUGUACCCACAGGGAAGAGAAAAGGAGUGUUUUGAGCAGUGCAAAACACAAAGUAGAAGCAAGUGACGUGGGGGAAAUCUGCCCUCAGACAAAAGCCUGUUCUGAGCCAAUGCACCUUAGGUUGAAACUCUGGGGGCACGUGGGUUCUGGAGCACUGGUGGUGCACUUUAUCCCCCAGCAGAAGCUGGGGAAUACGCACACAGAAUGCACAAGGACAAGGAAUGCAGCUGUGACCUGGAUGUGCCAGAGUAUCUGUGCAGUUGGUCCAUCUAUCACCAAAACAGGUGAAAUACAAGUCUUGAGCAAAGCAGAUGAACAAACAUGGCAAAAGCUGCUCUGGACUCUGACUCAAAGCACAAGGCAAUUAAGGGAAGUCUCCUGUGGCAAGCCACAUGCAGUACCCACAGCUCCAGUGCAUAUGAUCAGUCUGUAACAAGGAAAUACCAAAGAUACAUACAGCAAUGGGUAUCUCAAAGCAUCCUGACAAGCAUCUCACCAUUAUGAAAAACAACUGAUAGCAUCCUUCUCUCGGAUGCUAAAUAAUUUAAUGGACAAAUAUCCAGUCAUAACACUACCAGAUUUCACAGUAAUGCUGUUUUUUUUUCAAGUCUCAGCUUAUGGAAGCAUUAUGUGAUUAUGCAAAACACCCAGUUUUAUUCUGGUUUUGGUUUUAUUUUUACUUUAGUUUCUAUUCUCCACGUAUCUGUAAAGAAAAGCUCAAAAGCCAUGAAUGCUGAAGGGUCCUGCACUUUGGCCACAACAACCCCAUGCAGCACUACAGGCUGCGGCCAGAGUGGCUGGAGAGCAGCCAGGCAGAGAGGGACUUGGGGGAUCUGAUUGACAGGAAGCUGAACAUGAGCCAGCAGUGUGCCCAGGUGGCCAAGAAGGCCAAUGGCAUCCUGGCCUGUAUUAGGAAUAGUUAGACAUUAGAAAAAAGUUCUUUACAGACAGAGUGAUUGGACAUUGGAAUGGGCUGCCCAGGGAGGUGGUGGAUUCACUGUCCCUGGAGGUAUUUAAGAAGAGACUGGAUGUGGCACUUAGUGCCACACUGUAGUUGACAAGGUGGUGUUAGGUCAAAGGUUGGACUAAGGGAUCUCAAAGGUCUUUGCCAACCUAGUUGAUUCUGUGAUUCUGUGACAAAUUCAAACUCAUAUAUAUAAUAUAUGCAUAUAUACAUAUACAUAUAUAUAUAUAGACACAUGUAUGUUUAUAUAUAUAUAUGUUAUAACCCCACUUCAUGGUUUGACAUAGAAUUGUUUAGAACCCAAGGCCUUGGCAAUACUUGAUCAUCAAUGUCCAGGCAUGGCCUUUGGGGAGAAAAACAUAUGGAGUCAUAUUGCUGAACAUGAAGGUAUUACCAGUCACAAGAGUGACAACAGCAAAUUCUUGGCUGCUAGAAACCGACAUAGUUCCACAGCUUCAUAGCUCAGCAGCUGGGUCAUGAACUAAAUCCUGAAAUCAGGGAAAAUAGAAAAUUCUGGGAAUGCAGGCUUUUCAGCUUGCUUCACACCCCUCCAUCUUUUGUUAAACUUUUUUUUUUUUUUUUUUUUUUUUGGCAUUUGCACAGAAAACAUGUCAGUGUGUCUUUUACAGCACUCCAAGGAAGAAAAUUCAAGCUGCUCUGCCUGAUAUUAAAAGAUGUGGCAUUUGGUAAUAUUUGGAUGCAAUCCAACUGCUAAACUGCUGAACUGCAGUUUGUAACACAAGCACACCAUGAAGGGAAAGCAGCAAAAGACAGAUGAAAAUGAAAUUUAUCAACAGGCAUAAAAGAACAUGUGAGCAGAAAGCAGCAGGAGGGAUAUCCAGUGUGUGAGAACGGAGAGAUGGAUACCAAGCACAUUAGCAGCAGUAUUAGUUUAUUUAAACACAGCCACAUAAUGAAGCUGAGCACUGGCAUCAUGAUAAAUUGUAGCAGAGGAAUGAGCUUUGGAGUAAGUGAGUGGAAGCACAGCAUGUGGCCAAAUGUGUGAUGGCAUGUGAAAUGAGAGUGACCCACCAGGAAUAUGUCAGAUGCUGAAGACCAUUGCUGGCCACUUGCUCAAAUGACAAAAACAGAAGUUGCAAUAUGUAGGAUUAAUACACUUUAGAAGAGACAAAUUCUCAUGCUAUUAAAAAGAUCACAGUCUGGUCACAAAAGACUCAUAGCUCUGUAACCCCCAAGUAUUUAGUUGUUCAAAAAGUCCAUCUGUGUUACACGCAUUCGAGUGUUAAUAAUUAAGGCUGGGAUAUCAACCUCAAGCUCUGAAUUUUCCCAGAUACUGUCAGUUUCAGUCUGACUCUUGCCAUCACUAUAGCAUGUUUUUGCUUUUAAAAGGAAUGGUAAGGUCCUAGGAAUAUGACAUCAGCCUUCCUAAUGAGAGAACCACAGAAAAUAGGGCUGGAAGGGACCCUGCAAGGUCAUCUAGUCCAGCCCUCUGCCCUAAGGCAGGAUCAAUUAUACCCAAAUCAUUCCUGACAGAAGUUUGUCUAACCUGUUCUUAAAAAUGUCUGGCAAUGAAGAUCCACAACUCCCCAGGCAAUCUGUUUCACUAUUUCACUACUGUUACAGAUGUAAAGCCUGUCGUAAUGUCUUCCUUAAAUCUCCUCUGCCACAAUUUAAAUCCAUUAGUUCUUUCUGUAUUCCCAGUGGACACAGAGAACAAUUUAUUACUUUCCUCUUUGCAGCAAGCUUUACAUGUCUGAAGACUGGUAGCACAGUCUUAUGCCUUUCCCUGCAUCCCCUUUCUCAAGUUCUUUCAAUCUGUCUUCACAGGUCAUGCUUUCUGCUGGAUUUCCAACUGGACUGCAUCUUUCUUUUUUGAAGCAUAGUGCACAAAAGUAGACACAUUACUCCAGCUAAGGUUUGAAGCAGAGAAUAAAUAGGGUGAGAUUAUUUCACGUUUCUUCUCCAUGACAUUAUUUUUAAAGCUGAAAUGGCACUAGCUUUCCUCACACUGUGGCCUGUGUUCAGUGUUUAAUUCCCAGCAGUCACAAAUCCCCUCUUGCAGAAUAAUGACCACUGAUUCAGUUGCUGCCAUCAUUUGUGCAUGUUGUUGGCUAUAGGAAUUCACUGGCAAGAUCCUGGAGUGUUCAACACUUAACUUGUUUGAAUCUAAACCCACUCACUUCAGACUACCUUGUUUAGUAAGGAGCUCAUGUAUCUGUCAGUGUCAUUUCAUUGAGAGCACUGCAGUAACAUCAGAAAAUAAUUUAGUCCAAGUUGCCCAUCCAGCAUAGAGGAAUUCAGCAAUGGUUCUUACCAUUAGUACCAUAUUUAGUAUAUUCUGAAAUAAGCUGAAACACAAUGAUGUCAGUUUAGAGGAGUUGAAGCAGCUUAAAAUACAGAAAAUUACUCAUGAAAUGUUACAGCUCAGAGCUGCCAAAUUAGUUUUUCACCUGAAAUAGAAUUACAAGUUACCCAUCCACUGUUUAAAAGCAUAUUAAGCAUUUAAAUGAAAUUUUUUAAUUGCUCUGAAUUUGACCCUCAUCUAAUUUUGAUUUUUACCAAGUAUUUUAAGCAAUUUGGAAUGAUUUAAAAUUUAUAUUGGAACACUAAGUAGCUCAAAGGAACAAGUCUUCUAACUCCCAUCAAACUCAGAUGCAUAAUUCCCACAGGUGCCUUUGAAAAUUCCUAUUUUCAGUGUUGUUGUCCAUUUGAUAAACAGCUCAAAAAUCCUUGGCUUUUUACACAAACAUCAUCUGCCUGAAAUAAUUUAUGAAAAUCAUAAAAUUUAUUUAAGCUCUUCUCAGUGCUCCAUAAAUUUUAUGCAGCCCUUAAAUUAUAAAGCUGCUGCUGCUGCUGUGGCACUCAUCAGAACAAUGCUUAAUCUCUUCUCUCAAGAUAGCUGGCAUGUCAGAGGAGAAAAGAAGGGACUCGGGCAGCUGAAUUGUUUGUUUCAAUUUAACAGGGCAGAAUAAAACAGCCUAGAUGCCAGGGCUCUAGUCCCAGUGAGACUGUGUGCAUCAAGGUUUUACUGCAAAAAUAGUUGUUCUAACCUUCCCCUGCUUUUCCUUGGUUUUAAAUCAGAAAAUAACUUUCAUUGAUUUCACAGGGACUCUUUUUGCACACAUCAUCAGGUUUGUGAUACUUGAAAUGUUCCCUGCCUAAUUUAUAAUCAGUGUGUUCUCAUUCUCAGAUAUACAACAACAAAAUUUCGCAUCUGUACUAGGACUGUUUUAUUUUUUUUAAUCUCUACCUUCUUUAGCAAAGAUUAAAAACAUUUUUGGAGCUGAAUAUAACGCAAGGUGAAAAUAAAGUCCUAGCAUGGAGAAACUAUGUUUGAAUGGACUCCUUUACUCUUAAAUUUGGCCUGGUCACAUAUUAAAACUGCAGACUCCUUUAUUAAGAUUUUGGCUUGUGCCAGCUAACUGAGAUUAAGAGUACAUCCGUUUUUCUGGUGAAGUCUCAUCUGGAGUAGCCCAGUUUUCAAAGGCAGAGUGGCCUGGACAUUAUUAGACUCAAUCUUUUCAGUGUUUCAUCCUGGGGAUCCAAAGUCAGCAGCUGCUAUAGUCUUUUUCUUAGCACUGACUUUCCCACUCUUUCCACUCUCCUGGUAACAUUCCCUAGUCUGUCAUUCAGAGAGUCGUCAUCUUUAAGGGAUGCAUUUCAACCUUUCUCUACUCACGCUUUUCUCCCACGUAACCCUCUGAGUUUCAUCCUUCCUCAUGUGCUGUUUUUGCUCAGAGGUAUACAAACCAUCUGUGCCUCUAAUACAAUGUUCUUAAAUAGCCUCCAGGCAGAUCUCUAUGGUUUUUAAGUACUUCUCUUUGCCCUUCAGCCUGCUGUUAACCAUUUUCCUCAUAGUUUUAUAAUCUGCUCUUUUAAAGUUCUUUGUUACUGUGCUGUCCCUAAGGGAACAACUCUUUCAUGAUAUCAAAACUAAAAGUGUGCAGUGAUCAGCGUUACCCCACAGAGGUUUGACAACACCUUCCUCUAAUAACUUCUGCCUCUUACAAGGUAGUUCCCUCUUGCCCAUGGCCUUAACUAAUCAGGCAUUGCACUGUGGAUGGCCACAAGAGUCAAGGAAAAGGAAUCCUUUGCCAUAUGGAUUGGAAUGGCACCAAAGCCACUUUACAUCUCCUGAUAAGAGGAAAAAACCUGCUUUUGCCAGCUGUUGCUUUACCUCCAACAAAAAAUAAGAAGUGAUAAUGGGGUAUACACUAUAGAAUUCAAUCUUGUAUUAUUUUCCUGACUGGUCCCAUUCAUUUUCCCCAGGAGGAAGUUACUUUCCAGGGGCUGGUUCUGAGAUUUUACAGGUUCUCAAAAUCUUGAGGAAGCCUGCAGGAGAUUGCAGUCACUCAUGUGUGCUGUGUCUCCAGUGGUUUUAAUGGCUACCAUUGUGACUGCUGCCUGCGGAAUGCUCUCAAGGAAGUGGGGCAGAAGGGGAGGUCUACGACAUGAAAAAUGUCUCUGCAGACUAAUAUCUUGCUCUAGGAAUGGGAACAAAGGGAUGAUACUGAGGAGGCAGCUGAUACACCAGCCUUUCUGUUUGCUGAAUGCACAAAGGAUUGAUUUAUGGCAUCUUGCCACAGGACAGGCCUAUAGGUUAUUAACCAACUUCAAUGGACAAACACUUGCUGAGACUGCAUAUUAUUCCUCUUGUGCUGUACAAAAGGUAAUGACUCAUCUUCAGGCAUGCCUGAUGUCCUUGAGAAUGCAAUUGGCUCUGCACAGCCAAGUGAAGCAUUACUUAGUUAAUAAACUACAGCAGAAGGGAAACAAUCAGCUGAAACGAUGACAUUGCUACUUCCUGCUUCAUUAUAAAUCUGCAGCUUCCUAACAGGAUUAUAUACUGAAGCACUGCAAAAAAGGACGUUAAGUCCUGUGAUGAAACUUAAAAAAUGUGUAAUUAAAACAGUUAAAUACAGGCUUCUUGUGCUCAGUGUCUACAAAACACAAUCUUUGAUCUUCCAAAUGAUAUUUCUUGGAAAAGCGCUGGACUCAAAAACUAUAAGAAUAGAAUUCUGACUCAUCCCUUCCUCUUGAGGCCAAUUAAAUGUACACUUGCAGUAUAACAAAUUUCGUUUCAUUUCAGACUAGAAAUACAACCAAAGGUAUGAACUCCAAGGCCACCUGCCCCCACGUGUGUUUUCCUGGUCAUUCUGUCCCCUGUUCUUCCAGUUCUAUCUCAAAAUGCAGUAUUCUUGAUGAUUCACCUUGAUUCCUAUUAUUUGGAGAAAGAUCUUGUUUCUUCAAAAGAAAUGAAGGUAACAGAGCAUCUCACCUUUCCUAAUGACAUCCAAGCACCUCUGCAGUGUAAAAAGCCUCCACUAUAAGCAUCUAUUGCUGCAAUGCUACUACAGUUCACCAGGUUUGUUCCAGCUUACUGCUCAGCUAACACCAUCGAUAAAUGUUUUAGUAUUAAUGAACCACGAAAUUUCAAGUAUUUUACUAAUAAAAACUGUACGAGGUUCCUAAAUUAGGUAAUGGGCCACAUCUGACCAAGAUUCCCACAAUAGGCAACAAGCCUCAGCUACUCUCACCUUGCUCCUUCAGCACUUCUCUCACACUUAGCUGGGCAAGCCCCAUGAGAAAAUAAAUACAUAUACCUUCACCACUGUGGCAGGGGAAAAGGACUGUGGAUGGAGGCAGGGAAGAACAAGAGAGAAGGAAAACCCAGGAAAAUUGUCCUUUCCAGUACUAGCCUCACUUUUCAUGUACUUACUUUGGUUUCCCCUUUAUUAGAAAGUUCUUGUGAUUAUUAAUUUUUCCAUGAUCCAUUGCUUAAGGAAGUGAUUGCUUAAGACAGUUCCACAUUUCUUUCCUAAAUGAAAGAGUAAUUGUUCUCUUUAGUCACAGGUUUCACGGGGAGUUGAUGGUGUGUGUGAUUUUCCUGGUGCGUCAUGUUAAUAACACUGAAUUUUUACAUGACUACCUGACUAAAAUGCUUUUGUGCAUCACUCACACGUCUUAAUAAAUAUAUCCAAUCAGUUAUUGUUAGGUGAGCUGGGAGUAAAAUACAAUGAAUACAAAGGUCUCCUCCUGGUCAGAGCACUACAGUCGUAGUUGGAAUAAAGGAAACAAAUUGGGUUUCUGUAUCCACCUUUCUUUCCCCUGCUGUGUUGCCUGAAGAACAACAUACCUUCCAUUAUAUUACUCUCAAGUAAACCCAAUUAAUUUAUUUGCAUUCCAAACAUCUGUCAUGAAGUUGUAGGGCAAGACGCAUGAUUAAACAAAAGUAUUGCACCCAAUAUUUUGAGAUAACCCUCUUUUUACUGGACUCCAGUCUCCCACAUCUAUCUCUAAAAAUGCUAAUUUUUGUUUAAAUGCAAUUACUAAUAAGAUUCAAACAACAUCUUAUUUUGAACGUGCCAAAUUAGCUGCAUAUUUGUGAGGCCCUCCAUAAUUUUAAGGCAAAUCCAAAUUCCCUCUGAUCCUUGGCAAGCAUUUAUAGCCAUGUCUCCUAAACUGCCAAACUGCCUCACAGCUAAAGUGAAGAGCUUCCAGGCUGUGCAAGAAGAAUGUAAGCAAGUACAUUUCUGUGCUGACAAAAAGAGCCAGAAAAGUUUAAGUAAGCAGUCAAUGGUUAAUUCAUUCGUUCAGAUGACUGUCAUCAAGUGAGAGUAUUUACUCAGUUGUUGAAAUAUGCCCAAAUAUUCCUUUGGUAUGCUGGAAUGCUACAAGACUUCUCAUGGGUGUAAUCUAUAUAUAUAUUUAAUAGAUUCAAACAAGUUUAAAGUAUACAAAAUAAAUGGAAAUAUGAACUCCUGGGAACCUUUGGUUCUGUACUUCUUCUUCCUAAGUUUGCUCUUCUUUUUUAUAUAUGCAGAAUACAGACAAAUUAUGUGUUUACAAAUGUAACACGUCCUCAUGGGAAUAGUCAGGUUGUCACACUGCACCUCUUUGGCAAUUCUAAUAUGAGACCAGUGCUACAAGAAGAUUUUAAUAUCCAUUUAUAGGACAAUGCAGAAAGAAUCGUGCCCUGCAGAAUUUACCUCCUAAGGAGUCUUUCUGCUGUGCCUUUUGCAACCAGACGUGCCUGUCUCAUAUUGGCCUUUUUAGCCACCAGUGUGCCUGUAACAGACGUGGGUAGAGCCCUUCCCAAAUCUUCAUUUGCGAAGCCCAGCCACGACUGACAGGUCUGGCUUCAAUUUUCUGAAAGGACAACAGAUCUAUUCAUUUUCAAAAUAAGGGUAACAGGCACUCACACAAAUACUGUGGAACAGUAUGCAGAUUUGUAUCUGAUAUUAUGCUGCAGUAAGCUGGUAUGUACAGAGACAGGUAGCAGUUACAGAAGGCUUUAAUGUCACGUGACAAAAAAAAUCUCAUCUUAUGUACUGAAAUUUUUAUUAAAAUAUCUUUGGACCACUUAAAAGAAAACAUAAUUUAUUGUUUAAUACCAGACGAACAAACUAAAAUCAGCUGUUUCACACAGCAACUUGAGAUUUGCUCCUCAGUGAAGCUUUACAGGCCAAAUAAUUUCAAAUGUCCUGUCACACAGCAGAAGAACUGGUUUCAUAACCCUGUAACAGCAGUAAUCUCAGUUCUUGCUUAUAUAUGGUUACAGAACACACCAUACUUCCAAAUAAUUUCGAAGUCAUUAGUCCCAUUUCCAAUUCCUUAUUCUCCCCAAUCCCAUCAGCUCUCAGUGUCAUUUUGAAUUUCAGCAUUCUGUUACAUAAACGGUGCUGAAAUGGUCACUUUCAGUGUACUUUACACCGGCAACUAAAAUAUUUCAAAACUUUGUAUCACAGCUAUAUUGUUUCCCACCUAAA
Pseudopipra pipra is the source of this 11044-nucleotide long non-coding RNA. RefSeq lists it as uncharacterized. The transcript has 2 exons. The record is from RefSeq and is a predicted model, not a curated record. Lineage: Eukaryota; Metazoa; Chordata; Aves; Passeriformes; Pipridae.